RNAcentral lists this ribosomal RNA (750 nucleotides) under uncultured eukaryote. RNAcentral's name for it is "bacterial SSU rRNA". It matches the Rfam family "Eukaryotic small subunit ribosomal RNA", at positions 394 to 1129 of the family's 1831-position model. The record is from RNAcentral.
UGGUGAUAGAGUAGGAUCCCACCCAAGUAGGCAGCAGGCGCGUAAAUUACCCAAUCCUGACACAGGGAGGUAGUGACAAUAAAUAACAAUGCCGGGCUUUCUAAGUCUGGCAAUUGGAAUGAGAGCAAUUUAAAUCCAUCAUCGAGGAUCAAUUGGAGGGCAAGUCUGGUGCCAGCAGCCGCGGUAAUUCCAGCUCCAAUAGCGUAUAUUAAAGUUGCUGCAGUUAAAAAGCUCGUAGUUGAAUUUGUGGCGCGGCCAUCCGGCGGGGGCUCUUCAUUGAGCCCGUUUGUCCUGGUUUUUGGCCGUUCCUUUCUCGGGUAGCGUGUGGCUGGCAUUAGGUUGUUGGCUGCUUCGCGCCCGUUUUUUACUGUGAAAAAAUUUGAGUGUUCAAAGCAGGCUUAAGCCGUUAGAUACAUUAACAUGGAAUAAUAAGAUUGGGCCACGACGGUCUAUUGUGUUGGCUUGCACAUUGUGUCAAUGGCAACAGGAAUAGUGCGGGGCAAUUCAUUGAAUAAGAAGAAGCGCAAAUCUUGGAAUCUGAAAAUGAACUAACGCGGAAGUUUUCCGUGGGGAGUAAAAUUUGCCGAAAACCAAAAUCCUGGGUUGCAGAAGCUUCAAAUCAUUAAAGUCCAAACAAGCAACCAUACCCCCCAAGGAACCCCCGGCUUUUAUAUUUUGGACGUGGCGACGAGGCCUAAAAAAAAACAAACUUUUAAUCCCGGGCCGGAAGUUUUAUGGGGAGACUAAAUU